GCAAGAGUUCAAUAAAUGUCCUAAACUUUAUUUCUUCUUUUCAAUGCAGGAAACCUGCUUUAAGAACCUCUGAAAAGAACAACACACAGAACACAGUCGGCCAACUAUUGGAUCAAGAUAUCCUUAAAUGACUGGAAGCGGAAAACCUCUGUCAUUGAAGAAGCAGCACUGUGGUUGGGUAGUGACAUAAUCACCUACAACUGAGAGAAAACCCGUAUUUCUGGCUGGAAGAAUCAGGAGAAGAAGACAUGAGGAAACUUCUUUGGAUUAUCCAGUUGAAUUUUCAGAAGAAUGGACGUAAACGUGGAACAGUAUUAGACAAGUACCUCAAACAACUGUAAAGCGAAAUGCAUAUGAGGUCACCCAGUUGGCGCUGUGGAAGCACUCACAACGUUUUCUCACUAAAAGACAUGAAAAAAGUUGGAAACUUUUUCCUGGGGCUGCUUUAAUCACCUCUCUCUUUUUCUUACUGAUAGUGUGUAUGCUUUUACAACUACCAUACUUCUCAAAUUGUUUGCAGACAUUAGUGACUCCUCUGUAUUAUCCAUGUGUUUUCACUGGGUCUAGGUUACUGGAAAUCUGAGAAUACGAAGGCCUAGGAAACUCCUUACUUCCUAUUUAGGUAAAGACUUUCAAUUUAUUCUUCUUAUACUGCUUAAAAGAGGAGCAUUCUAACAUAAAACUAUGAGUCACACCAGCUGCGUGGACUUUAUUUUGUGGUGUUUUUAAAAAAUUUUUUUACUAGUGCCUUCAUUAAGAGCUGCAAGGACAAAUGGCUCUCAGCGGUAGGGCGGGGCUGGCUCUUACCUCUUGGUGAGAGCCAACUAUGCACAUUCCAUCCUCUCUUGACAUUCAACCAUGUCUUAUUGAUAGCAUAAAACUGGCUGUGGCAGAAGAAUUUACACUACUGACGUUGGCAAGUGUUACAGGCCAGGCUUUUCUGUUCCAGAGAGCUGGUUCUUAGCUUUAGUUUCCUCCUAGGCAUCCAACUUGUUCUCCUUGUUUUGUUAGAAACUUGCAUAAGAGCUCUACAAGCUUCCCCAAUGGUUUCAGUGCAAGAGUGUCCGGGAACAUUAUCGUCAAGCUGGGAAUUAGAGUUUAUUUCAAACUGUGUCCUCCUACUUUACAUGAGAAAUGUAUUUCUUCCAGCUUGUGAGAUCCACUGAGAUACCUUCAUCGGUCCAGGCAGCCCCACUUCUCUCUGAGCAAUGGCUGAGAACAGGCUGCUCAGCAGUUCCAGGAUGGGGACCCACAAUGGGGCUGUUGUCCUUGUGAUGUUUGUGCCUAUACACCAUGCUAACCUGCUUUUCUUUAUUGACAUUAUAUUGAAACUGAAGUAAGGACAGGAUUCCAUCCCGAGUGUCUGAGGACACUGAGACAAGGACACACUCCCUGUGAAGUGAAUGGUCAUGCUUAAAAUCCAGCUUGCAGGGUAAAUCUAGUCCCUGUUUCUCUGUCUGGCACAGAAAUAAAAGUGUCUCAUCAAAAUUUUACCUG
This 1497-nucleotide long non-coding RNA is filed under the name Equus caballus (horse). RNAcentral's name for it is "lncRNA (ENSECAG00000045269.1)". Lineage: Eukaryota; Metazoa; Chordata; Mammalia; Perissodactyla; Equidae. The record is from RNAcentral.